This 497-nucleotide ribosomal RNA is filed under the name uncultured bacterium. Its description in RNAcentral is "partial 16S ribosomal RNA". It matches the Rfam family "Bacterial small subunit ribosomal RNA", at positions 28 to 507 of the family's 1533-position model. The record is from RNAcentral.
GAUGAACGCUGGCGGCGUGCCUAAUACAUGCAAGUCGAGCGAACAGACGAGGAGCUUGCUCCUCUGACGUUAGCGGCGGACGGGUGAGUAACACGUGGAUAACCUACCUAUAAGACUGGGAUAACUUCGGGAAACCGGAGCUAAUACCGGAUAAUAUAUUGAACCGCAUGGUUCAAUAGUGAAAGACGGUUUUGCUGUCACUUCUAGAUGGAUCCGCGCCGCAUUAGCUAGUUGGUAAGGUAACGGCUUACCAAGGCAACGAUGCGUGGCCGACCUGAGAGGGUGAUCGGCCACACUGGAACUGAGACACGGUCCAGACUCCUACGGGAGGCAGCAGUAGGGAAUCUUCCGCAAUGGGCGAAAGCUUGACGGAGCAAGGCCGCGUGAGUGAUGAAGGUCUUCGGAUCGUAAAACUCUGUUAUUAGGGAAGAACAAAUGUGUAAGUAACUAUGCACGUCUUGACGGUACCUAAUCAGAAAGCCACGGCUAACUACGUG